RNAcentral lists this long non-coding RNA (418 nucleotides) under Brassica napus (rape). RNAcentral's name for it is "long non-coding RNA (BNAP_LNC019548)". Lineage: Eukaryota; Viridiplantae; Streptophyta; Magnoliopsida; Brassicales; Brassicaceae. The record is from RNAcentral.
AAAAAAAAAAAAAAAAAAAGAUUCAAUAAGAUAGUGGGGAAGGGAUAAUAAAAAGUGUUAGAGCUAGAAAUAUGAAAAGUAAAUAAGAGGUCCUUAGUGGUUGAGUCUUAAGAAAAGAAUGUUGUUCAUUGGGUGAGUGAUGUGAGUGUUUUUCAUUUUGGUUUAUGGGAUGAAUGAAAAGGGUGUAGAAUUUGUAAUCACUUAGGAAUGGGGUAGAAUGAUGAGGAUGGAUCCAUGUAUGCAUGAAUUGCUCCUAGUCUUAGACAAAUUUUGCAUAAUGAUCAAGCUCCUUGAUUCUUGAGUUUUUGCCACCUUAAAAUGAUUGCAUUGAACCCUCCUCUUCAUCUAUAUUAGACCAUUUGAUCACCUAGCCAAAUGAUUGAUAUCAUGCGCCCAUCUGUGAGAGUUCACCUUGUGU